Long non-coding RNA from Oreochromis niloticus (Nile tilapia), 1044 nucleotides. RefSeq lists it as uncharacterized. Lineage: Eukaryota; Metazoa; Chordata; Actinopteri; Cichliformes; Cichlidae. The record is from RefSeq and is a predicted model, not a curated record. The transcript is spliced from 5 exons.
GUAACAGUCUUCAACAAUUGCAGAUAACAAACUCACAGAUUCUCACCUCACGCUCGAUGAUACCGAACGCAUCAGCAAAGAGCUGGUCGUCCUCCAGGACACUUACAAGACUGCAGUGGAAACCAGGAAGGAUGCCAGGAAGCAGCUGGACAGUGAGAUGAGCCGUCAGACGCAAACCAACUGGGAGCUUGAACACCAGACGAAACGAAGCAAUGACUAUAAAAGUCAGAUUGAAAAAGUUACAAAGGAAAUUGAAACCAUGAAAACACGCUUAUCAAUGCUUAGCGAUGGCUGCAAACACUGUCCUGCAGGAUGGAUUUUAAUGAACCCUGUAUGUUACUACUUCCCCUUGAAAUCAAAUUAAUUCAAAACAUGGAAGGAAUCCAGAGAUUUCUGUCAGCUGCAGGGAGGAGAUCUUAUAAUCAUAGACAGCCAAGAUGAAGAGAACUCAACAGUUAAUUAUUUGAUAAAUCAUCAAGCUGCCCCGAGACAAACUCGUGACCUGGUCUGGGAGUCUCACCUUCCUCACCGUGUGAGACCUUGGAUGCCUCACAGAGACCCUGAGUUUCUAGAUUGGAUAAGCAGAAGAAUAAAUCAUCAAGAUACGCCUCAUCCCCCAAUGGGCUUCUGGAUCGGACUGAGAGACGUCCAUGAGGAAGGGACUUGGAAAUGGUGGGAUGGAACAUUACUUGCUGAAGGUGUUUGAAAACUUUAUCGUCACCGCCGGCGUGCUUUGUACCUCAGGCUCAUCAGAGACAAUCGUAUCCAGUGGUGUGGCAGCCAUGGGUUGAGCCAGCCCUGCAAACCCUGUGGAUGGACGAUGCAGUGGACAGUGGGAGGAAGCAUCCUAAAGCUCUCUUUGCAGACCAGCCUGUGUGAUUCUCCACUCGCCGACCAGAAAAGACAAACGGCAGGUCUAAGUUGCAGCACCUCAUCCAUCCAUGUCUGAUCUUGCAUCGGCAGAUUCAGCAACACAGCCAGAGACUUCCUGUAAUCUAUUACAGUUGUUAAAAAAACGGUCCAGGAACAGGUCACUCAGGUUAA